Molecule: ribosomal RNA, 475 nt
Filed under: uncultured bacterium
Lineage: Bacteria
Description: bacterial SSU rRNA
Rfam family: Bacterial small subunit ribosomal RNA
Source: RNAcentral
UCAGUCGACUCCUACGGGGAGGCAGCAGUGGGGAAUAUUGCACAAUGGGGGAAACCCUGAUGCAGCCAUGCCGCGUGUGUGAAGAAGGCCUUCGGGUUGUAAAGCACUUUCAGUAGGGAGGAAGGUAGUGUAGUUAACACCUGCAUUAUUUGACGUUACAUACAGAAGAAGCACCGGCUAACUCCGUGCCAGCAGCCGCGGUAAUACGGAGGGUGCGAGCGUUAAUCGGAAUUACUGGGCGUAAAGCGCAUGCAGGCGGCCUGUUAAGUCAGAUGUGAAAGCCCGGGGCUUAACCUCGGAAUUGCAUUUGAAACUGGCAGGCUAGAGUCUUGUAGAGGGGGGUAGGAAUUUCAGGUGUAGCGGUGAAAUGCGUAGAGAUCUGAAGGAAUACCAGUGGCGAAGGCGGCCCCCUGGACAAAGACUGACGCUCAGAUGCGAAAGCGUGGGGAGCAAACAGGAUUAGAUACCCUGGUAG